UCACAGCUUGGCCAAGUCAUUUAUAGCCCAUAAAAAAUUACUUAACACAUGGUGGCAUAUGUAACUCUAUAAAUCUUUCUCGGAGAAGGAGGUGGAAGAUGGCAUUUGUAUACACAAAUAUAUCCAUACACAUACUCAGGCUAACGCAAUAUGUUAGCACUCUUUUGUGCUAAAAACCUAGUAGGCACACUAUCAUGGUAACUGAAGAUGAAAAUUUUUGGUAAGAACCUGCCUAUUCAUUUCUCACAUUAUGUUUUGCAGAUCCCCCCUCAGAUUUAUACUGCAGUUCUGAGGCUCUUCAGUGAAAUAUGCUUGAAGUCUUGCUCAUACCUCCCUGGAACUACACACUGGUGAGCACAGUCGUGUGUGCUGCACAGCUUGCCUACCACAGCAGAUGCUUCUGCACUGACUGUUCAUGUGGAAGACAGAAUAUGGCAACUGACACAUUUAUCUCUUUUAUUUUGUGCGACUCAAGCACAAAGGGGUUUUCUCACCAAACUGGUCACAGGAUGGCAGCAUGAAAACCAGGAAAACCAACUGGAUUAUACUGGAAAAUGUCUCAGGAAGGCAGAACUAAUUGCUUUAAUUAUUACUGGAGAGCCAUAACUGUUUGGGUUGGAAGGGACCUAAAAGAUCACCUACUUUCAACCCUCCUGCCAUGGGCAGGGACACGUUCCACUAGACCAGAUUUCUGCAAGUAAGGUUUCUCAUCUGCAGUAAGCUCCAUAUUUUCAGCCUGGCACCAGGACAUCAAAGUAAGUAUUUUUGCAUAGGCAGAAAAGCAUUUGCAUGUAUAAGUAACUGUAUCAUGAUUAGCUUUAAGCAAUUUCCUUCAUCUGCCUUUUGUUCCCUCUUUCUUAUAACUUUCUGGUUGAAGGUCUAAAAUUGAGACCACUUGUCUCUGAACAUCCUCAGAAUAUUAUAGUUCUGAUAUUUCAACCACUUGAGUAAAAAAAAAGAUCCAAAUGUUAAAUUUUUAAAGUGCGAAUAUAUAUCAGCCUGAUUCAAGAGACAUCUCAAGCCCUUAGUCUGGUAUCAAUCACACCACAGUGAGUCCUUUGGCUUAAAAAAGUUACUCUAGCCAGUGAAAGGAGAAUUAAUUUUAUUCUGAAUUUUAAUUACUUUGAAGAAUGUGGCAAUGAUUACUUGAGCAUAUGCUGUCCAUUUGUUUCAUGACUUAUUUUACUCAAGAGA
Long non-coding RNA from Neopsephotus bourkii (Bourke's parrot), 1194 nucleotides. RefSeq lists it as uncharacterized. Lineage: Eukaryota; Metazoa; Chordata; Aves; Psittaciformes; Psittacidae. The record is from RefSeq and is a predicted model, not a curated record. The transcript has 5 exons.